CACAGCCCCCCCACGUCCUCCUCUUGGAACACGCCCCGGCUCUGUCCGUGCAGCCUCCUCCAGUCAGCAGAGGGGUAGCGAGCUGUGCGAGUCUGUACCGCUGCACUGAUUCGCUCCGAUAACGCUGACUUCCGACGGGCUUCCGAAGAAUGAGAAAUCCAACCGCAUAAUCUGCGGGUCCGCACGCACCUGACUGCUCCGGUGCGCACGGUGCACACCGGGCAAAGCAUUCGAGACGGAGCCGUCUUGUCUCUUUAUUCUCCAAGAGCAAUGUGGACAUGCUGUAAGGGUAGCCGCCGUGUCCCGAGGGAAGAUGCCGAGCAGACGCAGGAUCUGAGCAUAAGGAACUGUUCACCUCAGCGGUCAUGAGGAGUAGAGGGCGCUGAUGAGACCUGCUGCUGCCUUGCCAGCAUGUGCUGCUAGUCCAGUACCAACCGAAGGUGGACGUGGUUGGACAGAGCAGUAAAUGCACACCUUGCUCAUCCAUCAAUGUGGCCGUGUCUGUGUUCUCUCCCUCCACCUCGCUUCCUCUUCCCCUCCAGCUUAGUUGAGCUGCGUCCUUCUGUGGCACAUGAUUAAUCCUGCCUCUCAUAUCUCUUCUCCUGUGUCAGCACCUUUGCUGCUUUAUAGGCUUAUUCUAAAAUGAAAUGACAGUUCCACUCUGAAAUAUC
RNAcentral lists this long non-coding RNA (671 nucleotides) under Betta splendens (Siamese fighting fish). Its description in RNAcentral is "lncRNA (ENSBSLG00000005317.1)". Lineage: Eukaryota; Metazoa; Chordata; Actinopteri; Anabantiformes; Osphronemidae. The record is from RNAcentral.